AAAAAUCCAUUCAUAAAAAUCACGAGCGUUUCAACCUUGCUUCGUCUUGCCAUCCACGAUCGAGUGAACAAAUGCUCGAUCCUGUUCUUAUCUCUACGGUUGGUCUCGGUAGGAACCUUUUUCGCCUCUUCUGCUCCAGUGUUCAACCGAAGAAACCUCCGUGAUUCUUUUUUAUUUUUGAAAAAACGAGAAACCACCUCCAUCGUCUUCGAGUUCACGAGUGCAUCC
RNAcentral lists this long non-coding RNA (228 nucleotides) under Setaria italica (foxtail millet). Its description in RNAcentral is "long non-coding RNA (SITA_LNC002155)". Lineage: Eukaryota; Viridiplantae; Streptophyta; Magnoliopsida; Poales; Poaceae. The record is from RNAcentral.